This 158-nucleotide ribosomal RNA is filed under the name Hypericum graveolens. Its description in RNAcentral is "5.8S ribosomal RNA". It matches the Rfam family "5.8S ribosomal RNA". From Rfam's summary of the family: 5.8S ribosomal RNA (5.8S rRNA) is a component of the large subunit of the eukaryotic ribosome. RNAcentral also lists the same sequence under 1 other name. The record is from RNAcentral. Lineage: Eukaryota; Viridiplantae; Streptophyta; Magnoliopsida; Malpighiales; Hypericaceae.
CAAUAACGACUCUCGGCAACGGAUAUCUAGGCUCUUGCAUCGAUGAAGAACGUAGCGAAAUGCGAUACUUGGUGUGAAUUGCAGAAUCCCGUGAACCAUCGAGUCUUUGAACGCAAGUUGCGCCCGAAGCCUUCUGGCUGAGGGCACGCCUGCCUGGG